GGAUUUGACCUGCUGCUCUGGAUUUGAUGUUGUGCCCCCAGACUCAGAAUGAGAUCCUGUUGAUUGAGUGUCUAUUUUGGAAGGAGUCGACUCAAGCAUUGAGGGUAAACAUGUAUCAGUUACACCUAGAGAAAAAUCACAUCCAGAGGUAGGACCAAUUUGUGACCUUAUGACUCCAUGAUGGCUAGAAGAAUCAACAUUCUUCAGAGAUAAAAUGCCCCCUCUAUUUUGAGAAGAUUUGAACAUUGGAAAAUGCUGGCCUUUGAAUGUUUCAUGUUUCAAUUUAGAGCUCUCAUUCAUAAAGGAAUUAUUAUGCAUUUUUCUAAAUUCUUUCACAAAUUUAGAGCUGUCUGCAUCCAUCUCUGGACCACCAGGUAAAGGAUGAUGCUUAGCUCUGCAACUAUCUUCCCCAGAUUCAUAACGAUGUGAUAAUUGAUUAUGGAUAUCAU
Molecule: unclassified non-coding RNA, 449 nt
Filed under: Hevea brasiliensis (rubber tree)
Lineage: Eukaryota; Viridiplantae; Streptophyta; Magnoliopsida; Malpighiales; Euphorbiaceae
Source: RNAcentral